RNAcentral lists this ribosomal RNA (131 nucleotides) under uncultured Clostridium sp. RNAcentral describes it as "partial 16S ribosomal RNA". It matches the Rfam family "Bacterial small subunit ribosomal RNA", at positions 337 to 485 of the family's 1533-position model. Lineage: Bacteria; Bacillati; Bacillota; Clostridia; Eubacteriales; Clostridiaceae. The record is from RNAcentral.
UCCUACGGGAGGCAGCAGUGGGGAAUAUUGCGCAAUGGGGGAAACCCUGACGCAGCAACGCCGCGUGAAUGAAGAAGGCCUUAGGGUUGUAAAGUUCUGUUUUCUGGGACGAUAAUGACGGUACCAGAGGA